GAUGAACGCUGGCGGCGUGCCUAGUACAUGCAAGUCGAGCGAAUGGAUUAAGAGCUUGCCCUUAUGAAGUUAGCGGCGGACGGGUGAGUAACACGUGGGUAACCUGCCCAUAAGACUGGGAUAACUCCGGGAAACCGGGGCUAAUACCGGAUAACAUUUUGAACCGCAUGGUUCGAAAUUGAAAGGCGGCUUCGGCUGUCACUUAUGGCUGGACCCGCGUCGCAUUAGCUAGUUGGUGAGGUAACGGCUCACCAAGGCAACGAUGCGUAGCCGACCUGGGAGGGUGAUCGGCCACGCUGGGACUGAGACACGGCCCAGACUCCUACGGGAGGCAGCAGUAGGGAAUCUUCCGCAAUGGACGAAAGUCUGACGGAGCAACGCCGCGUGAGUGAUGAAGGCUUUCGGGUCGUAAAACUCUGUUGUUAGGGAAGAACAAGUGCUAGUUGAAUAAGCUGGCACCUUGACGGUACCUAACCAGAAAGCCACGGCUAACUACGUGCCAGCCGCCGCAGUAA
This 515-nucleotide ribosomal RNA is filed under the name uncultured bacterium. RNAcentral describes it as "partial 16S ribosomal RNA". It matches the Rfam family "Bacterial small subunit ribosomal RNA", at positions 28 to 523 of the family's 1533-position model. The record is from RNAcentral.